UACGUAGGGGGCCAGCGUUGUCCGGAAUCAUUGGGCGUAAAGCGCGCGUAGGCGGCCAGAUAAGUCCGGUGUGAAAGUCAAAGGCUCAACCUUUGAAUGCCGCUGGAAACUGCCUGGCUUGAGUCCGGAAGGGGCGAGUGGAAUUCCUGGUGUAGCGGUGAAAUGCGUAGAUAUCGAGAGGAACACCUGCGGCGAAGGCGGGUUGCUGGGCCGACACUGACGCUGAUGCGCGAAAGCCAGGGGAGCGAACGGG
This 253-nucleotide ribosomal RNA is filed under the name uncultured bacterium. RNAcentral's name for it is "partial 16S ribosomal RNA". It matches the Rfam family "Bacterial small subunit ribosomal RNA", at positions 524 to 776 of the family's 1533-position model. The record is from RNAcentral.